This is a long non-coding RNA of Ipomoea triloba (trilobed morning glory), 1510 nucleotides long. RefSeq lists it as uncharacterized. The record is from RefSeq and is a predicted model, not a curated record. NCBI's taxonomy places the organism in Eukaryota, Viridiplantae, Streptophyta, Magnoliopsida, Solanales, Convolvulaceae. The transcript is spliced from 2 exons.
AUUUGGGAGUUGUCAUUUACCCCUCAAAAAUGACACCUCCCUUGACCGUUCAUCACAAAUCUUACGGCUGAUAAUUUUUUAUUUAACAUUUGGAUUUAUUUUUCUUUUCAAUUGCCCUCAAUGUUUAAUUAAAUUACAAUAUUGCCAUUUUUCUUUCGUUUUCUUCCCCUUCCCCGUAAAACCCUGAGCUAUUGGGUCCCUCUAAGAAAAGAAAAUAAACAUGUUUUCUUCCUCUUUUCCGUAAAUCCUUGAGAUAUUGGGUCCCUAUAAGAAAAGAAAAAGGCAAAGGUAAUGGAAAAUGAAUGUUACAUUUGGCAUCAUGUGGAAAAGGAAAUGGUUAUUCCUUAUCAUUUUGGUAGUGGAAAAAAAAGUUGAAAGAAUACAUACUCUCCAUCAUAUUCCAUUCAGCAGAGGCAGCAAGCAAGAAAUUUUUUUCUUCCUCUCAUUUCGGCAGUAAGAAUGAAGAAACCAUUUUUUUGUCAUGCAUCUUUGUCCUGGGUUUGCUGAGCUUCUUGGGCAACAAGUUGUAGUAGCGACAACGGGGCAGAGCAGCGGAGACCUGUGGCAGAGCGAGGCAGCAACCGGCCAUCUGACGGAGGUGAAAUCUAAAGCGGAGUGGAGGCAGAGGCGGAGGACCGGAGUCUCGCAUUCUUGCACUCUCGCACAGGAAGAAAGAAAAAACCUGCUUACACUUUGAGAAAUGGGAAGAUAAGAAAGCAUGCGUACAAUUAAAAAAAAUCAACAGCAUGGUGUACACUUUGGGAAAAACAAAGGUGGUCUCUCUCCUACUUUUGUUAGUUUUGUAGGCUUGUGCAGGCAUGCUAAGUUGCUAACCAUGCUUUUGCCAUUGUCCAUUGUCCAAUGUAUUUUAUAUAUUUAUAUUAAACAUUAUAUUUGUUAGUGGAUGCCACACUCACACACACCAUGUCAUUUAACAUAAAUAACCAUGAAGAAGCAGGCGCCAUAGCCAGAAAGAUAUCAUCUUUCUUUAUUUAUUUUUUUAAUUCUGUUAGAAAAAAAAAAAAAACCGUUUUUGCAUGGAAUAAGAAAGAAAGCAGAAACUAAUGUUUGGGUCUUGUGAUUCUGAGUUUCAUGGGAAAACACAAGUAAAAAAAAGUGCCUUGAGCCAUUAAAUCAAAUAAUCGUUGAAGCCGUGAAGCAGUGAGCAGGAUUAGUUUGGCAUGCUCCACUUGGCUUUUUCUGCAGGUGGUUUUUUUCAAAUGGCCGAGGAAUGAUGGCAUCUCAGGUUGUUUCUUUGUUUUUGGAAAUGCAUCUCAUCAGAUUGUUAAUGUCUUCAUUGGGCUUGCGAAUGAAUGGGGUACGGACCAAGGUAUUGCAAAGUUUCAUGGUCGAGGAACCACAGUCAGAUUUUUUUUUUCAUCGUAUUUUAUGUUUGCAAAUGAUAUUUCUGGCGGUGUUUGAUGAACCAGAAUUCCGAUUUUGUUUUUCGGCUUUGAUGCUUGAAUGGAGACAAGUUGUCUAAUAAUAGUUGGCAGCCUUGUCUUUUUUG